AAACUUAAGAGUUUGAUCCUGGCUCAGAACGAACGCUGGCGGCAGGCCUAACACAUGCAAGUCGAACGAGAAGCCACCUUCGGGUGGUGGACAGUGGCAGACGGGUGAGUAACGCGUGGGAACGUGCCUUUCGGUUCGGGAUAACCCAGGGAAACUUGGGCUAAUACCGGAUACGCCCUUCGGGGGAAAGAUUCAUCGCCGAAAGAUC
RNAcentral lists this ribosomal RNA (208 nucleotides) under Rhodospirillales bacterium. Its description in RNAcentral is "partial 16S ribosomal RNA". It matches the Rfam family "Bacterial small subunit ribosomal RNA", at positions 1 to 227 of the family's 1533-position model. The record is from RNAcentral. Lineage: Bacteria; Pseudomonadati; Pseudomonadota; Alphaproteobacteria; Rhodospirillales.